RNAcentral lists this ribosomal RNA (858 nucleotides) under uncultured bacterium. RNAcentral's name for it is "bacterial SSU rRNA". It matches the Rfam family "Bacterial small subunit ribosomal RNA", at positions 8 to 841 of the family's 1533-position model. The record is from RNAcentral.
AGAGUUUGAUCAUGGCUCAGAACGAACGCUGGCGGCGUGGAUUAGGCAUGCAAGUCGCGCGAGAAAGUUGGCUUCGGCCAGCGAGUACAGCGGCGAACUGGUGAGUAACAGGUGGGCAACGUGCCCUAGAGUUGGGGAUAACUCCCAGAAAUGGGGGCUAAUACCGAAUGUGGCCUUGGCUUCUUAUGAGGUUGAGGGCAAAGGCUGUUCGCUUCGGCGGAUUAGCCGCUCUAGGAUCGGCCCGCCCCCGAUUAGCUUGUUGGUGAGGUAACGGCUCACCAAGGCAAUGAUCGGUAGCUGGUCUGAGAGGAUGGUCAGCCACACUGGGACUGAGAUACGGCCCAGACUCCUACGGGAGGCAGCAGUCUAGAGGCUUCCGCAAUGGACGAAAGUCUGACGGAGCGACGCCGCGUGUGGGAUGAAGGUCUUGCGAUUGUAAACCACUGUCAGCAGGGAAGAGAGCCCGGAUGGUGAAUCCGGGUAGGACGGUACCUGCAGAGGAAGCCCCGGCUAACUACGUGCCAGCAGCCGCGGUAAUACGUAGGGGGCAAGCGUUGUUCGGAUUUACUGGGCGUAAAGAGUGCGUAGGCGGUCUGGCAAGUCUGGCGUGAAAUCCUCACCGCUUAACGGGAGGUUGUCGUCGGAAACUGCCAGGCUAGAGGACGGAAGAGGAGAGUGGAAUUCCAGGUGUAGCGGUGGAAUGCGCAGAUAUCUGGAAGAACACCGGUGGCGAAGGCGGCUCUCUGGUCCGUUUCUGACGCUGAGGCACGAAAGCUAGGGUAGCGAACGGGAUUAGAUACCCCGGUAGUCCUAGCCGUAAACGGUGAGCACUAGGUGGUGGGGGGUGUCGACCCCUUC